UAAUACGAAGGGGGCUAGCGUUGUUCGGAAUCACUGGGCGUAAAGAGCUCGUAGGCGGCCGUUCGCGUCGGAUGUGAAAGCUCAGGGCUCAACUCUGAGACGCCAUUCGAUACGGGACGGCUAGAGGUAGGUAGGGGAAAGUGGAAUUCCUGGUGUAGCGGUGAAAUGCGCAGAUAUCAGGAGGAACACCGGUGGCGAAGGCGGCUUUCUGGGCCUUACCUGACGCUGAGGAGCGAAAGCUGGGGGAGCGAACGGGAUUAGAUACCCCGGUAGUCCCAGCCGUAAACGUUGAGUGCUAGGUGUGGGGAGGUCUUCAACCCUUUCUGUGCCGACGCUAACGCAUUAAGCACUCCGCCUGGGGAGUACGGUCGCAAGACUA
This 379-nucleotide ribosomal RNA is filed under the name uncultured bacterium. Its description in RNAcentral is "bacterial SSU rRNA". It matches the Rfam family "Bacterial small subunit ribosomal RNA", at positions 521 to 896 of the family's 1533-position model. The record is from RNAcentral.